GAUGAGCUAAAGGCCUAUAC
This 20-nucleotide microRNA is filed under the name Macaca mulatta (Rhesus monkey). Its description in RNAcentral is "mml-miR-1245-3p". The record is from miRBase by way of RNAcentral. Lineage: Eukaryota; Metazoa; Chordata; Mammalia; Primates; Cercopithecidae.